UCCAUGUUAAACCUGAUAAUCAAAUGACUGGAAAUCCUGAAGAACCAUCGAGGUAGAUGAAAAUAUUUUAUUCCUUCCACCUAUAAUCUAUCGAUGUUUCCAUCAUUCUAUGGGAUCAAACAUUCAGACUUUAGUCCUAAGGUCGAUUUGAGCCUGAUAGUCCAAAAAUUAUAUAAAGUCGACCUACUUAUAGAUAAAUUUCUAGCCCUA
Molecule: long non-coding RNA, 210 nt
Filed under: Elaeis guineensis (African oil palm)
Lineage: Eukaryota; Viridiplantae; Streptophyta; Magnoliopsida; Arecales; Arecaceae
Description: long non-coding RNA (EGUI_LNC014182)
Source: RNAcentral